Scylla paramamosain (green mud crab) is the source of this 1397-nucleotide long non-coding RNA. RefSeq lists it as uncharacterized. The transcript is spliced from 5 exons. The record is from RefSeq and is a predicted model, not a curated record. NCBI's taxonomy places the organism in Eukaryota, Metazoa, Arthropoda, Malacostraca, Decapoda, Portunidae.
GAGAAAUGAAGAUAAAAGAAGUGCAAGGAUCAGUAUGGUGAAAAUACUUUGAGAAACACCCCUAAGAACAUGAACUGCAAGAGGGGAAUGUUUCUAAGUCUUCGAAUACAAUAUAAUGAAAAUAAUUAGAGGAUUAAUUAAUAAGUAAGGAGAAAUGACAACGGUAACGAAAGAAAAACUGUGCGAAAAUUAACAUAAUUAAAAUAAACUAUGAAAACUAUCACAAAGAACAAGAAAUAUUAGUAAAAACUCAAAAAAUUAAGUUAACCGUCCCUGGGUGAAGAUUGGCCGCCGCCCCGCCAUGUGCGAACAACAACAUUCGGUCAGGGUUGAAGCGAUUAGGGAGUUUUCAGCUGUAAUUGUGUGCAAGUAGUCACCAUCACCUACUGGAGUGACGGGUGGAGUGGAGCAGCAGUAGUGGUGGUGGAGCUGGAGUGGUGUCAGACUACCCCAUCCCCUGCCUCCCGCCCUGCCCCACCCAGACACCAUGGCCCGGCAGCGACACCAUUCCACCUGCUACAUGAUGCUGGCUGACGCACUCCUGACGUGGCAGCGACAGGAGGCGGAGGGCAGGAGCAAGAGUCGGAUGGUGAAGAAAGGCGUGAUGGCGGAGGUGGUGGCUGUGGAGGGUGUUCGUACAGGGUACCUCGGCAGGGUCUAGUGUGCAGGUUGGCAGUAAACCUCCCUGAAGGUUCCAGAGCUGGUCAGCAAGUGUCCAGUCCAGGCUGUCACAAGACUGUGUGAUGGUGGACCUUCCAAUGAUACUCACUGAAAACAGCUGUGCACUGCCACUCACAGGAAAUGGUGGUACUGUGGAUAGCAAGCGGAAGAGACCUUGGGAGACUUCCGUAAAUGAGGAGCAACAAGCACACCUCACUGGAGUCUUUCAGGAACCAACAGUCGGGGCCUGAUGUGAAGGUGUCUGCAGCCAGUGUUUGGUGUCCUCUUUGCCUGGUGGUGCCUCAUUGCAGGGCUGAUGUGAAGGCGUCUGCAGCCAGUGUUUGGUGUCCUCUGUGCCUGCCUGGUGGUGCCUCAUUGCAGGGCCUGACGUGAAUGUGUCUGCAGCCAAUGUUUGGUGUCCUCUGUGCCUGGUGGUGCAGCCUGAUGUGUUGCCUGCUUCAGUGUAAAUCUUGUAAGCUAGAUCUGCCAGCUGUCUCCAGUGUAGUAGUCUAGGGUGCUUUGCUUUGUGUCUUUUGGCAAUAAAUAAAUUUGAACUAUUCUCAUGUGAAUUACAUAGUUUGAUAAAAUUACAAAAUGUGGUUGUGUAAACUAAAUUUAUAUUGGUGGUAAACAAUUCAGGCACCCGCAAGUAAAUAAAUAAAUAAAUAGGACCCAAAACAAUACUGAUACAAUUGAUGCCCUCAGGUAAAAAAAAAGCCAGGAUUGGCCUAUUUUUG